GUAUGCAGACUCUAUGUGGGCCUACUUUUUAUCACUGUCUGUGGAAGGGUUAUGUCUGGAUGUGUGUGCAAGUGUCUUGUUAUAUGCAUUUACUUAUUGAAUAAAUCUUACUGGGCUCUUUAUUGAUACUCACCCUAUGAAGAACCUUCUGGUAAAAUCUGAGAGGGGUGAAGAGCACAGAAAUUAGAACUCAACAGAAGCAAUGUAACUCCAUGUUACCCAAGGGUUGCUGGAACUGGCAGGAUUUGUGGGGAGGUUUGGUUUCUUCCUAACAUUAAAAAAUUAUUCUCUAUUACACUUGGGUUGACAUCUAUCCAGAACUGGAAGCUUCUAUGUAUCUGAGCUUCCCUCCUCCACCCCACAACAGAACUCCACUGGCAUCACUUCAGCCUCUGCUUCAGGGUUGAGCAGAGUAGAAUCUCAACACAUUUCAAUUCCAGUUCAAGAAUCAUGCAGAAUGCUUUCCUGGGAGAGGUUCUAAUUGUCCAAGUUAUCUCCAUUUGCAGAAUCCCAUAAAAAUCUAGCAUUGCUGAUCUGGAUAGCAUGAGAUGCAGGUAAGAACCUGAAGCUAAACAGCUUUGCUUCAGUGACAGAAAAUUCAUGUUUGCUCAAAGUACGUACACAUGCAUACACAAACAUACACACAAUGGAUUUUUCCGUAGGUCUCAUUGAGGUCUCUUUUCAUUAGCUGGAAGGUUUAAUCACUAUCUUUGAUCAUUAAUUACAUCCCUGAAACAAAUCAAAGUGCAGACAGUAAAAGGAUUUCACAUUUUGAGUUCCCAUAGUCACCACUCCACUAAAAGGAUUCAAGACUCAUCCAUCUAUAUAAAGGUGAGAUUCAAUUCACUUUUUAUAGAAAAAUAUAAAAUUUGGUGGUCAUUUCUAAUGUUAUUAUCUCUGUCAAUAGAACUGAAGUCUUCAAUGUAACUAGGCCCCACGUAUCUGCUGACAACUGCCAAAGUCUCAGCUGUGGCUCCAUUUUGACCUAUUCUACCUUUUCACAAAAGAAAAACAGCCCCAGAGAAUCACCCGUCACUUUCUUUUCUGUAAGAACUACUACCCAU
Molecule: long non-coding RNA, 1064 nt
Filed under: Capra hircus (goat)
Lineage: Eukaryota; Metazoa; Chordata; Mammalia; Artiodactyla; Bovidae
Description: lncRNA (ENSCHIG00010023017.1)
Source: RNAcentral